This 305-nucleotide ribosomal RNA is filed under the name Lactobacillus delbrueckii subsp. bulgaricus. Its description in RNAcentral is "partial 23S ribosomal RNA". It matches the Rfam family "Bacterial large subunit ribosomal RNA", at positions 2597 to 2899 of the family's 2925-position model. Lineage: Bacteria; Bacillati; Bacillota; Bacilli; Lactobacillales; Lactobacillaceae. The record is from RNAcentral.
UACGCGAGCUGGGUUCAGAACGUCGUGAGACAGUUCGGUCCCUAUCCGUCGCGGGCGUAGGAAAUUUGAGAGGACCUGUCCUUAGUACGAGAGGACCGGGAUGGACAUACCUCUGGUGUACCAGUUGUGCCGCCAGGCGCAUCGCUGGGUAGCUACGUAUGGAUGUGAUAAACGCUGAAAGCAUCUAAGUGUGAAACACACCUCGAGAUGAGAUUUCCCAUUCCUUUAUGGAAGUAAGACCCCUGAAAGAUGAUCAGGUAGAUAGGUUAGAAGUGGCAGUGCGGUGACGCAUGAAGCGGACUAAU